GAACGUGCAGAAGGUAACUUUACGUUUUCUGAGGUUUGCAUUCAUCAGAACCAUCAAAUAUGCAUUUUCUUAAAGUCGCAGUGCUCCUUGUAGCAGUUCUUGCUGCAGUGUUCGGAACCAGCAUGGCCAAGGGUCAUGGUGGUGGUCAUGGUCAUGGUCAUGGAGGUGGUCAUGGAGGUGGAAAGGGUCAUGGCGGCAAAGGUCAUGGUGGUGGCCAUGGGGGCAAGGGACACGGAGGCCAUGGUGGCGGACACGGGGGCAAAGGACAUGGAGGCGGCCAUGGAGGAAAGGGGCACCAUGGAUAAACAUAGCAGCUGAAAGAUGUGUGACGAGAAAGCCCUUGUUUUUUAUUCCACUGCUGCUGGACAACGGGGAAACAACAACUCAUGUAAAACAUGAUGAUCUUGUAUUUUGUUUGACCAGACCUCUGAAUAAAAAUACACUCCAAAGUGUUAAAUCUGA
RNAcentral lists this long non-coding RNA (462 nucleotides) under Haliotis rufescens (red abalone). RNAcentral describes it as "uncharacterized LOC125378815". The record is from RNAcentral. Lineage: Eukaryota; Metazoa; Mollusca; Gastropoda; Lepetellida; Haliotidae.